UACGUAGGGCGCAAGCGUUAUCCGGAAUUAUUGGGCGUAAAGAGCUCGUAGGCGGCUUGUUGCGUCGACUGUGAAAACCCGCGGCUUAACCGCGGGCUUGCAGUUGAUACGGGCAGGCUAGAGUUCGGUAGGGGAGACUGGAAUUCCUGGUGUAGCGGUGAAAUGCGCAGAUAUCAGGAGGAACACCGAUGGCGAAGGCAGGUCUCUGGGCCACUACUGACGCUGAGAAGCGAAAGCAUGGGGAGCGAACAGG
Molecule: ribosomal RNA, 253 nt
Filed under: uncultured bacterium
Lineage: Bacteria
Description: partial 16S ribosomal RNA
Rfam family: Bacterial small subunit ribosomal RNA
Source: RNAcentral